CUACUUGUCUUCAGUUUCCUUCUCCACAUCUCCUCUGUUCUCUUCUCUUCUCUUUUGAUAAUCAUAUCAAAAAGUUGCCUUUGGUCGGUCCGAUGACUUAAUUACGGAGCAAACCUUGAUUUAAUGCCCUUAAGCUGUGUCCUUUGUGUGUUUGUAUAUACAUAGGUAGUAAAAUGUUUUUCCCAGAAAUUUAUUAAGAUUCUAUUUGUUGACAUUUCUUUUAGAUAGCAACUAAUUAUAUUCGAGGUUUUCUAGACUGUUUAUCUGCAUCCAGCCAAAGUAUUUUUCCAUCGAUUAUUAGUAUCAAUCUUCGUCAAUCUGUAUACAUAAAAAAAACUCAAAACUUAGUUCGUUUAAUUUUGUUCAACAACUUGCUCCAAUUUGCGAGUGUCUACUGUAAUAUAUGUUUUUUUCACGCACAUCGGUCGCAUUUGCAAGUCGAAACAUAAUUUAGCUGCCGCAUGGCAUGGCAUAAUUCAGCCACGCCCCCUGCCUAACAGCCCCCCUGACUACUGUUUCGCAUGCUGAGUCAUGCGCUUUCAAUUUGAAUCAAUUUAGAUGAGGGAAAGAGAGAGAGAGCGAGAGAGAGAGAGAGAGAGGGGGAAGCAAAGCCACAAAAAAUCAAGACUGAAACUAUAAUCAGAUAAUUUGGCUGCUGUUUUAUAUACAGAGCUGUUCCCUAGAACUUUGAGUAUAUAUAAUAGGAGCAAUUGAUAAGUGAAUGCUAUAGUGGGCAGGGCUCGACUAGGAUAUACCCGGAAUCCCCUUCCUCUGCUGUUGCUGCGAAUAUUCUAGAUAACAACAUGAAACAUACUCCAGCUGGGCGUGUUAUAGGAGUGUACAACAUGUGUAAGAUGUGAUGAUGUUAGCUUCAAUAGGUUCUAAUAUACAGCCAGACGGAAAGUAUAGGCAAAUAAAGUCAGUUAAUAAUUGGCUAAAUUGUCUCGACUCUUGCCUUUAUUGCCGAAUAUAUGUACAUGUAUUCAUAUGCUCUUCGUGCGUCAUAAGUUUUAGAGUGUAUAAACCGCAAAAUACUAAGUGCUAUGCUAAUUUCUAAUAUGUGGUACACUCUAUAUAAAUACAUCAAUUAUCAAAUGAGCUUUGCUCUAUGAGUCAGAAAAUUAAAAUAAACGCCGUUGAAGUCUUGUAAGUGGAAAACUAAUGAAAAUGUUUCGUUGUUCAACUUUAAUGAGAUUCAGCAGACAGUUUUUGAAAGGGGGGUAUAACUGAUAUUAAAGGAGAAAAGAAAUGGAGUUAGAGUUUUAUAGAUGAAUAAAAAGAUAAAUGAUUCUCUGAUAGAUUAAAGAUUUGUAAUAAAUUUAAAACACUCUGACAACAUAGAACUGUCAUUUCAAAAUAAUUUAUUGUUAUUAUAUUCCUUAAAAAAUAUCUUGAUCUACGUGCUCUAAAAUAAUUGAAAACCCUAUCGAAAAAAUCAGUUAUAAUUCUACUGCUAAAGUUUUAUACGAAUACUUAUGAACUAAGUACUAAUAGCAUGUGGGGGGCUGGUCUAGACUCUAUCAAAAUGCUGAUUAGCUGUUGUUGUUGUUGUUGUUUUCGUCUCUCUCUCUUGGCUGGCUUGGUCGUUUGGCGUACGACGAUAAUAGACUGGAAAAUACUGGAAAAUAAUUUUUUGCAUCGGCUUUACCAGUGCCGUGUCUUGUUUUAGCCGGUGCCACAAUCAAAGUGUGUCAACAAAUUAAUAACGGCACUUUAAUUCAAUUAAAUGCCAAUAAAAAUCUAAUCAAUUGUCUAUUUAAAGACAUACAAAAUAACAAAUAUGCCGCAACGAUCUCUACGUGAACUCGAGCACAGAUGAGCAGCUGAGCCGCUGAUUAGAGACUCUCGAAAUACCCUAUAGAUAUGUUAGGGCUUAUUUAAUUUAAACGAACAAAACUCUUGAAAUUAUAAGUAGAUUAUUAUUGUUAGUAAUUAUUAUCAUAAAUUGUAUUACUAUUAUUAUUAAAAUAUUACAAAAGAUGAUUAUAUUCAGUUAAAAGUAUGACUAAA
Drosophila mojavensis is the source of this 2010-nucleotide long non-coding RNA. RefSeq lists it as uncharacterized. The transcript is spliced from 2 exons. The record is from RefSeq and is a predicted model, not a curated record. NCBI's taxonomy places the organism in Eukaryota, Metazoa, Arthropoda, Insecta, Diptera, Drosophilidae.